AGUAAAGUGCCUGAUUAAAGGAUUAUUUUGAUAGAGUAAAUUAUGUAUUUUUACCUUUACUG
Molecule: transfer RNA, 62 nt
Filed under: Cicadella viridis
Lineage: Eukaryota; Metazoa; Arthropoda; Insecta; Hemiptera; Cicadellidae
Description: tRNA-Ile
Source: RNAcentral